UUAACAUAAGAAAAGACAUCUUUAUUGCUCUCCCCGGGAAAUUCCAAGGGUUUUAGAAGCUCUGUGCCAGAAACAGGGACAAAGACACACAGUGACAAACAGAAAGAUUCUACUAUUCUUGUGUACAACUGAAGAAGAAAAAAAACAGUUAAAAAAUGUUAGUGAAAACAUGAAGAAAUUAGAACACUUGUGCACUACUGAUGGGAACGUAAAAUGAUGCAGCUUCUGUAAGAGAAUCUGGGUCUAUAUCCAAAGGAGCUGAAAUCAGAAUCUCAAAGAGAUAACUGCACUCUCCUAUUCACUGCAUCUUCAUUCACAACAGUCAAGGCAUGGAAACAUCCCAAGUGUCCAUCAACAGAUGAAUGGAUAAGGAAAAUGUAAGAUAUAUGUACAAUGGAAUAUCAUUCACCCUUAAGAGAGAAGGAAAGCCUGCUAUACACAACAACAUGGAUGAAUCUGCUGAAGGGAAUCUGUAAGGACAUUAUGCGAAGUGAAAUACGUGGCACUCCUUUUCCUCAUAAUCAGCUGAAUAUGUCAGAGGCUGAGAAAAAUGUCACUAAAUCUUGUUUCUAAGCCACUUCCACAUAAUAUUGCAGAGACUGGACUUAUGCCACCACAAGCCAAGGAAUGCCAACGUAUGUCAGCAGUCACUUGAAGCUACAAGUGUGAAACAGGUUCUCUGAAGAGUCUACGAAAGGAAACAACACUGUUUCCCGACAGUUUAUUAGUUUCUGACUUUCAGCACUAUGACAGAAUACACUUCUAUUGUUUUAAGCAACCCAGUUUGUGAUAAAAUGUUAUAGCACUCCUAGAAAACUAAAGCAUAAACUCUGUAUCAAUUUAAAUUACUAUGUUUGGAAACAAAGACAAUUGUUUCCAUAAAAAUGACAACAAAGGACUGUUAGAUAACAUAUAUGAAAGUAAAUGUAUGAA
Molecule: long non-coding RNA, 933 nt
Organism: Acinonyx jubatus (cheetah)
Lineage: Eukaryota; Metazoa; Chordata; Mammalia; Carnivora; Felidae
Exons: 3
Source: RefSeq, a predicted model, not a curated record